Long non-coding RNA from Lepidothrix coronata (blue-crowned manakin), 99 nucleotides. RefSeq lists it as uncharacterized. The transcript has 3 exons. NCBI's taxonomy places the organism in Eukaryota, Metazoa, Chordata, Aves, Passeriformes, Pipridae. The record is from RefSeq and is a predicted model, not a curated record.
GGGGCUAACUAAGCAAAGUAAAGAAACAAUAAAGAAGGGAACUGAGGCAGCCAGCCAAACAACACCCAGUUCCUCUAUAACCAGGAGAAAAUGGAGCAA